ACCCGGUCCUGUACGACAUUGGGUGCGCGUUCUACUGGGACCGCACCUCCAAGGAGGAGGCAUGGGUGAAGGUGGCCCAUGAUGUCAGGCUUUCUGGUAAGUUUGUUUGUUUAUUUAUUUCAGUAAGCAGACUAUUUUCUGAAAACAUAGCAAACUUCCCCUGCUUGUUAGGCUACAUGUUUCAACAUGUGUGUGUCUUUGCAGUGGAUGUGUGCCGCAAGUGCUGGAAGGGGCUGCGGGAUGUAUAUAUGAGGGAGAAAAGGAGGCAGAAGGAAGGUGGGAGAAGUGGGUCCAAAGCUGCAGCCGCGUCCUGUGACCUCCGCGACUGCAGCUUUGGACCCGGUGUGAACACACCAGGGCGCGACGUGACGGGAAUACAGCUACCAACGCGACUAGGUCGCUUCAGGUCGCGUAUGGUCUGAACAUGGCUGUACAGAACUAGUAUUAGAAAGUGG
This is a non-coding RNA of Xyrichtys novacula (pearly razorfish), 455 nucleotides long. NCBI's taxonomy places the organism in Eukaryota, Metazoa, Chordata, Actinopteri, Labriformes, Labridae. The record is from the annotation of a GenBank genome assembly.